AACGAACGCUGGCGGCAUGCCUAACACAUGCAAGUCGAACGAGAUCUUCGGGUCUAGUGGCGCACGGGUGCGUAACGCGUGGGAAUCUGCCCUUUGGUUCGGAAUAACAGUUGGAGACGACUGCUAAUACCGGAUGAUGACGAAAGUCCAAAGAUUUAUCGCCAGAGGAUGAGCCCGCGUAGGAUUAGCUAGUUGGUGUGGUAAAGGCGCACCAAGGCGACGAUCCUUAGCUGGUCUGAGAGGAUGAUCAGCCACACUGGGACUGAGACACGGCCCAGACUCCUACGGGAGGCAGCAGUGGGGAAUAUUGGACAAUGGGCGAAAGCCUGAUCCAGCAAUGCCGCGUGAGUGAUGAAGGCCUCAGGGUUGUAAAACUCUUUUACCCGGGAUGAUAAUGACAGUACCGGGAGAAUAAGCUCCGGCUAACUCCGUGCCAGCCGCCGCAGUAA
Molecule: ribosomal RNA, 449 nt
Filed under: uncultured bacterium
Lineage: Bacteria
Description: partial 16S ribosomal RNA
Rfam family: Bacterial small subunit ribosomal RNA
Source: RNAcentral